RNAcentral lists this ribosomal RNA (350 nucleotides) under Propappus volki. Its description in RNAcentral is "partial 12S ribosomal RNA". Lineage: Eukaryota; Metazoa; Annelida; Clitellata; Enchytraeida; Propappidae. The record is from RNAcentral.
UUUUAACUAAAUUUUAAUCUGUUAGGAGAUUUUUUAAAAUCAAAAGAAAUUGGCGGUAGUUUUAAGAGUUAGGGGAAUAUGUGUUUUAAUUUGAUAAUCCACAAUAAAUCAACCUUAUUUUACAUCAUGUAUACUGUUGUCGCAUAUAUACCUUAAAAAGAGUGUGUAAUAAUUAUUCAAAUUCACGUCAAAUCAAAGUGCAGACUAUAGUAAGGUAUACAUGUAUUACAUAAACUAUUUUAUUAUUAGAAUAAAUAAAAUAUUAGGACUUAACAGUAAUAAACUUUUAUUAUAAUUUAUGAACAUCUUCCAAAACUAUGCACACAUCGCCCGUCACUUUCAAUUAUAUG